AACGAACGCUGGCGGCAGGCUUAACACAUGCAAGUCGAACGCGCCGCAAGGGGAGUGGCAGACGGGUGAGUAACGCGUGGGAAUCUACCCAACUCUACGGAAUAACUCAGGGAAACUUGUGCUAAUACCGUAUACGCCCUUCGGGGGAAAGAUUUAUCGGAGUUGGAUGAGCCCGCGUUGGAUUAGCUAGUUGGUGGGGUAAAGGCCUACCAAGGCGACGAUCCAUAGCUGGUCUGAGAGGAUGAUCAGCCACAUUGGGACUGAGACACGGCCCAAACUCCUACGGGAGGCAGCAGUGGGGAAUAUUGGACAAUGGGCGCAAGCCUGAUCCAGCCAUGCCGCGUGAGUGAUGAAGGCCCUAGGGAUGUAAAGCUCUUUCACCGGUGAAGAUAAUGACGGUAACCGGAGAAGAAGCCCCGGCUAACUUCGUGCCAGCCGCCGCAGUAA
This 447-nucleotide ribosomal RNA is filed under the name uncultured bacterium. Its description in RNAcentral is "partial 16S ribosomal RNA". It matches the Rfam family "Bacterial small subunit ribosomal RNA", at positions 29 to 523 of the family's 1533-position model. The record is from RNAcentral.